Molecule: ribosomal RNA, 1491 nt
Filed under: Plectus sp. SSU1_16
Lineage: Eukaryota; Metazoa; Nematoda; Chromadorea; Plectida; Plectidae
Description: SSU rRNA
Rfam family: Eukaryotic small subunit ribosomal RNA
Source: RNAcentral
UUGAUCUUGAUUAUCCUACUUGGAUAACUGUGGUAAUUCUAGAGCUAAUACACGCAAUAAAGCUCCGACCUUACGGGACGAGCGCAUUUAUUAGACCAAAACCAAUCGGGCUUCGGCCUGAACGGUGGUGACUCUGAAUAACUGAGCUGAUCGCAUGGUCUUUGUACCGGCGACGCAUCUUUCAAGUGUCUGCCUUAUCAACUUUCGAUGGUAGUUUAUGUGCCUACCAUGGUUGUUACGGGUAACGGAGAAUAAGGGUUCGACUCCGGAGAGGGAGCCUGAGAAACGGCUACCACAUCCAAGGAAGGCAGCAGGCGCGCAAAUUACCCACUCUCGGCACGAGGAGGUAGUGACGAAAAAUAACGAGGCGGUUCUCUAAGAGGCCCGCUAUCGGAAUGGGUACAAUUUAAACCCUUUAACGAGGACCUAUGAGAGGGCAAGUCUGGUGCCAGCAGCCGCGGUAAUUCCAGCUCUCAAGGUGUAUAUCGCCAUUGCUGCGGUUAAAAAAGCUCGUAGUUGGAUCUGCGCCUUCGGACUCGGUCCGCCCAACGGGUGUGAACUGAGAUCCAAGGCUUAUACUGCUGGUUUUCCCUUGAUGCUCUUUACUGGGUGUCUUGGGUGGCUAGCGAGUUUACUUUGAAAAAAUUAGAGUGCUUAACACAGGCUAUCGCCUGAAUACUUGUGCAUGGAAUAAUAGAAUAAGACCACGGCUUUAUUUUAUUGGUUUUAGUCUUCGUUAAUCAAGAACGAAAGUCAGAGGUUCGAAGGCGAUCAGAUACCGCCCUAGUUCUGACCGUAAACGAUGCCAACUAGCGAUCCGCCGGUGGUAAUUACGCCCCGGCGGGGAGCUUCCCGGAAACGAAAGUCUUCCGGUUCCGGGGGAAGUAUGGUUGCAAAGCUGAAACUUAAAGGAAUUGACGGAAGGGCACCACCAGGAGUGGAGCCUGCGGCUUAAUUUGACUCAACACGGGAAAACUCACCCGGCCCGGACACCGUAAGGAUUGACAGAUUGAGAGCUCUUUCUUGAUUCGGUGGUUGGUGGUGCAUGGCCGUUCUUAGUUGGUGGAGCGAUUUGUCUGGUUUAUUCCGAUAACGAACGAGACUCUGGCCUACUAAAUAGUGACAGGAUUAUUACUGUCCUGGAUACUUCUUAGAGGGACAAGUGGUUUUCAGCCACACGAAAUUGAGCAAUAACAGGUCUGUGAUGCCCUUAGAUGUCCGGGGCUGCACGCGCGCUACACUGAAGGAAUCAGCGUGCUAAAACCAUUGUCGAAAGGCAUUGGUAAACCCAUUAAAAUCCUACGUGAUUGGGAUCGGGAAUUGCAAUUAUUUCCCUUGAACGAGGAAUUCCCAGUAAGUGUGGGUCAUAAGCUCGCGUUGAUUACGUCCCUGCCCUUUGUACACACCGCCCGUCGCUGCCCGGGACUGAGCCGUUUCGAGAAAAGCGGGGACCGCUGCUGUCGGGGCUUUCGGGCCUUGGCUUCGGUGAAA